Molecule: ribosomal RNA, 446 nt
Filed under: uncultured bacterium
Lineage: Bacteria
Description: partial 16S ribosomal RNA
Rfam family: Bacterial small subunit ribosomal RNA
Source: RNAcentral
AACGAACGCUGGCGGCAGGCUUAACACAUGCAAGUCGAACGCCCCGCAAGGAGAGUGGCGGACGGGUGAGUAACGCGUGGGAACGUACCUUUCGCUUCGGAAUAUUCCCGGGAAACUGGGAGCAAUGCCGAAUACGCCGUAUUGGGAAAGAUUUAUCGGCGAAAGAUCGGCCCGCGUUAGAUUAGGUAGUUGGCGGUGUAAUGGACCACCAAGCCUACGAUCUAUAGCUGGUCUGGGAGGAUGAUCAGCCACACUGGGACUGAGACACGGCCCAGACUCCUACGGGAGGCAGCAGUGGGGAAUCUUGGACAAUGGGCGCAAGCCUGAUCCAGCCAUGCCGCGUGAGUGAAGAAGGCCUUAGGGUUGUAAAACUCUUUCGCCGGUGAAGAUAAUGACGGUAACCGGAGAAGAAGCCCCGGCUAACUUCGUGCCAGCAGCCGCCGUAA